This 11146-nucleotide long non-coding RNA is filed under the name Homo sapiens (human). RNAcentral describes it as "HSALNT0293626". The record is from RNAcentral. Lineage: Eukaryota; Metazoa; Chordata; Mammalia; Primates; Hominidae.
AAGAUUAAAGGAACAGCUUAUUGAUAUUGUAUAUGCUCUUGUUUGGAUGUGUGACGGGGAAGACAGCAUUUAACUGCUGGUAUGCAAUGCUGAACCUGGACUGCAUGAAGAGGUUUUCGUUCACUGAUGUUGGAUGUGUGCCCAGACUGCCAUAGUAGAAUUUAGGGAAAACACAGAAAGGAGGAGAGACACAGAAUGGUUUUUGGGAACAUCCAUGUGGGGCAGAAGAAUAAAUACAUGUGAAGACCAUGUUUCCAGAAAUGAAAUGACUGGCCACUGGGCAACAGUUAUGAGUCCCCCAAAUCCCUUCCUGGUCCUCUCCAUUUGCACUUGAAGAUGGAGUCUCUCUCUGUCACCCAGGUUGGAGUCCAGUGGUUCAAUCUCGGCUCACUGCAAGCUCUGCCUCCCAGGUUUACGCCAUUCUCCUGCCACAGCCUCCCGAAUAGCUGGGACUACAGGUGCAUGACACAAGGCCUGACUAAUUUUUUGUAAUUUUAGUAGAGAUGGGGUUUCACUGUGUUAGCCAGGAUGGUCUGGAUCUCCCAACCUCGUGAUCCGCCCGCCUCAGCCUCCCAAAGUGCUGGGAUUACAGGUGUGAGCCUGGCCAACAAUCUUUUUAAAGUACAUAUGAAAUCUAGCUAAAGGAAGAAUUAGGAAACAGGAAGAUGGAUCUCUAAAAAUUACCCCUAUAAUGUAGCACAGAAUGAUAAAGAAAAGGAUAACAUGUAAGAGAACUAUUUCAAAGGAAUCCAGAAGAAGAGAACAGAGAAAAUGGAGAAUACACAAUUAAAAUGGUAAUUGAGAAAUUGUUCCAAAACUGAUAUGAACAUGAAUCAUCAGAUUCAAAUAGUAAAAGUAGCCUCAACAUGAUAAGUACAAUUGAAUCCACACCUAGACAUAUCAUAAUGAAACUUCAGAACACCAACAUAAAAAACAAGUUUCUUUAAAGCGCCAGAAAGAAGGAAAAAUCAUUUGAAAGAAUAAUAUUAUACUGACUGCAGACAGCAGAAUUAUCGUAGCAACAAUAAAAGUCAAGAGAGUGGAAUAGUACCUUCAGUAAGUUGAAGCCACAUAGCUGUCAACUAGAAUUAUAUGUUGUUGUAAUCACCCCACAGCAAUGAAUGGGCUCCCCACGUGAAACUUUGUUCAGAUAUCAUGACUGAUGGUACCAUACACACAUACCAAGAGAGUAUGAACAUUUUUAUUAAUCAUGGAUUGAAGAUUCCUGGGGAGAACAGAUUCCCAAGCAGGUCUGAAAAUGGUUGGGAGAGCAGAGAAUGGAGACUGUCUUGGGUUUAUGAUGGUUAGGUAGUUAGAGGUGAAAGUGAAGUUUCCCUUCAUGAUCCAGGGCUUGCAUGGUUUAAUCUUUCUGACACCAACAAAGGAGGGUACCUAAGAAACCAGGUAAAGGUAUAUUGCAUUCCUUCCAAAGUGAAGGCAAAUUGAAAUUUGAGAGACUAUUGAAAUAGGCUCAGAACAGAUGUAGACAAAUAUGUGACUGAAAAGUACAUACCAGUUGCUGAUUGUUUGGUGUUUAUCUUCUCAUGGAGAAAGGAAGGCUGUGUGCAUACAAGUGACAUCUGCUGCUUGUUUCAAGUCCUAGAAUUGUAUGACUACCUUAGCUUCAUGUGGGCCUAGUGCCUCAUUCUGUUGGUCCUGUUCUUUGAUUAUACAGGCUGUUCACCUCAGGUACAGGUACACAUCUAUUGCUCUAUUGCUUCCUCCAAAGCAAAAUGCCCUUGAUAUUAAGUUCACAGAGCCUGAGGCUUUUGUCCAGAUUUUACUGAUUUCUCCAAUUUCUGCCUAGUAGUAAAGUCUUUGCCCUUAGACUAAGCCAGCUUUGUCCACUAGAGAUAUGAUAUGAGCCAUAUGCGUCAUUUAAAAUUUUCUAGUAGCUACAUUUAAAAAUAAAUUAACAGAGCUAGGUGAAACUAAUAAUACAGUGUAUUUACUCCAACACAUCCAAAAUAAUAUGAAAUGUUAUUAAGAUAUUUUGCAUUCAUAUUUUCUAAGUCUUCAAAAUUUAGAAUGUACUUUAUUUACACUUACAGAAUAUCUCAGUUAAGCGUUCAUUAAAAGUGCUUGAUCUGUGUUUAGAUUUUAUAAAAUUUACAGUUGAAAAAUUAGAUGCACAUACCUAAGUUAUUUCAAAUGUACAAAAACAGUUUCCAAAAGCUGAAUUGAGGGUCAAUUUUAAAAUUUAAAUUUAAAGUAAUUUAAGUUAAAUUAAAAAGUUAGUUUCUCAGUCUCCCUAGCCACAUUUUAAGUGCUUGGUAGCUACAAGUGGGCUAGCAGCUACUGCACUGGGCAGCACAGACUAUCGUGAAAUGCAGGCCCUCAUCUCAAAGCCUCCUUUCUGCUUGCAUGUUACAUCUUGAAUUAGAAAGAUGGGACUGCACCUCACUUCCUGAAAAUAACACUCAUAUACCUUAAACUGACAUUCAAAACUCUUAGUAACAUCUUGAAGGCAUUGAAACAGCCAAGGAUCUACAACUUCCUAAUUAAACUAGCUAAAAUUAAUUUUUCCUUAUUUUGUUAUCCCAAAGAACUUCUUCUUACCUCUGUUUUAGGCUUUAUUCCAAUAGGCUCAUAGUAUUUUUUACUGUAUCCUUGGUGAAUCGCCAUGUCAUAAUCCUAAAGAACAUGAUUCCUAAGUUUAGAAAAAUCUAGGUUUGAUCCCCCGAAUGCCCAUCUAUUGGCUUGGGCAGUUAUGUCUUCUGAGCCUAACAUUCCUUAUUUACAAAGUGGGAAUAAUACUUACUUAAUAAUAUGAUGUAGUGAGGAUUAUAAGUGAUACAGCCUAUAAAGUGCUUUACUUUGUGUCAGAGUUUGUCACCAAAAAAAUUACAAAAAUAAUGUUAGCAAAUAUUUAUUGAUCUGUUUCUCACUAAAAUUUAAGUCUUUAAAGGUGAGGGUCAUUGAUCUGCUUGCUAAAGGGACAUCACCUAGCACUGUGCUGUGCAUAUGGCCGUAUAUACAGCUCAGUCAAUGGUUGAGUUUAAAUUCAAACUGACUGCUACCACUGACUGGAUUCAGACUUCACCCUGCUUCGCAUGCCCUCCUUAUCUCCAUUUGUAUAUCUCUUCCAGUUGCUUUGCCUCUUUGUCUUCUUGGUCUCAAUAGUCACUAAAGUUUCAAGCAACAGGUGAGAAAAAUAAAAUUAAAAAGCCCUUUUUCAUAAGGCAAAACAGUCAUGGAAUAUAAAGGAAAUUUAAUUUUAGAACUGCAUUAGAAUAAAGUUGGUUAGGUAUAAACCCUUAACUCCUAGAAACGUAUUCAGAGCAACAGGCAUCUCCGCCAGCUCCCUGGGACCGGGCUACAGUGGAGUUGUGUCAUAGUGCAAAAGUAGUGAACUGCUGAUAAAAAGCAUUAACCUCCAUCAGAGUGGCUGCCAUUAACUGAUGAAAUCAAUUAAGCCAGCAGCACUACCUGCUGAAAACUGAUCUAGCAGAGGAACGGAUGGCAGGGUAGAACAGAUGAAAUGAAAAAAUAGUGGGCUGGGUUUUCUUCUUGCUCUGUUUUUAGAAAUGUUAAGUUCCGUCAGUGUGUUUUUUUGCACUGCUUUGAAGAACUCUUUCCCCGGCGACUCCCCCCCUGCUUGGCCUCAUUCCUUAAACUCACUAAGUUAUUACAGUUAAUACCGUGGUUAAUGGUUUCUGGAAAGACGAUAUCUAUCAGCAUCUGAGUGUACACAUUUUGGCCUAAAUACUGAGAAAUCGUAGGUAUGUAAUACAAAGCCUGGGUGUGCCUGCCUGUAGAAAGUAGCUCAUUAGGAUUAAUCUUUUAUGGAGUGACUAAUGCAAAGGGAACGAGGCCUUUUCCUCCCCAACUCGGCAGAGGUUUUGUCCAAACUUUCAAACAGGUUUCUUUGGAAUACAGCUGGUCACUACUGAAGACUUUGCUCAAACAUAUGGAACUUUAAAACCUUGAUUUUUUUUUUAACUUUUGUAUACUGUAGCAAUUCCCUGAAAAUCAAAUGGCAGAACCUAAACGGAAGACUCACUGCCAAAACGCAUGCCCAGUUGGGGAAAAGUGUGUGGGGAAUCAUCCAGCACACUUCGAGAGCUUCGAGUACAGCCUGGUAGAACUCUGUAUUACCUUCUGUUCUGAUUCCUGAGCUCUGCCAGACUUUUGUUUGAAAAAGCAUCUUUAUGCAGCAGUACAUUUGUUACGUUGUAUCUGAGAAUACUUUCCACCUUGGCUCCUGCUUUUAACGAGUAAAAUGACUUCUUCUCUUGCUACAAAGACCAAAAGGACACAAGGUACAAGGCAGAGCUUCUCAGCAGAGAUAUAUGUUUUUUUCUGCCAAAAUUAGUAUAAGACAAUAAGUUGUCUGUAAAGGUCCGGUAGUCAGAUAAAGGAGUCAAGUUCCUUUUCAGGGUAAUGUAAUUGUUAGUCCUCAUAAAAAAAAGUGUUGUGUGGUGGGGGGAGUUGCGGCUUUAUCAAUAAAAGCAUACAGAGCUGAAUAUCUACAUAAAGAAAUGUUCAGUAUAAUUUAUGGCAUUUCAUCAUGUCGAACUGCAUUUCAAGUAAUUCACCCUGGCAGUUUUAUUCUCAAAAUGGAAAUCUUAGUAUUUUCCUUGCCUUCAUCAAAUAAAGAGUUCGUGUUCAACUGUAGUCCGUAUACUUGAUAAUUUGUCUGGCUGGGUAAGGUUAUUAGCAAUUUAAGAAGUAAACCCAUUUGGAUUUUCAGAGUUAACAGAAAUAGGAGAUUGCUAUGAUGAUCUCUUAAAAAUUACAAUGUAACACACAAAAGUGAGAUUUAAGUAACAAGAUUUUCCAUACACCAAUAACACCAGGGAAAUUCAAACUCAAACUCCCUCGUUUAAUUUCCAGGGAUUAAGGGGUUGGUAUUGAAGUCAAUGAAAGAUACAUUUUACAAAACUGUUAAUUCAAUUCAGAAAAGCAGACCAAAGGCCCACUAUCUUUAGAGUUUCUUUGGUUGAAAUGCAACUUGAUCAACUGGGUGGAAGAUAUUUCUAAUUCUCUAAACUGGUCAGAACAAAGUAGAGGACAGUGGUCCCAGCCAGAGGAUCCUGAGGGUCUCCUAUGAUAAACUGUUAGACUUGCAAGGGCAUUUAGAGAUUAUUUAGCCCAAACCUAUAGCUUGGUAAAUGAGGAAAUUGAAGCCUAGAGAGUAAAUGACUUAGCUAACAUCAUUCAACUGGUCGGUAUAGGUGUUCACUCACUUGCCUUUCAAAUAGAGAUCUUUUUAACUCCCUCAUCAAAUUCUUUCAGGAAUUAUUGAUUUUCUUAGUUGGUUUCUUUUGAUUUUAUAUUUUAUCAUGGAGAUGAUAUUAAUUCCAGGAUAAAAUACUGAUAUAAGGAAUUUUCAAAAUUGUUGCUCAUUAUUUUCUAAUUUUCAUUUAGCCUCUUGCAACAUUGCAAACAAAGUUGAUAACAUUUUACCUUUAGAUUCACCUUUUCAAUUUACAAAACACUUAAUGUCUAAGACUUGCCAAUGAUAUAAGCUAUUUACUAUUUAACACAUUUAUAGAUAAGGUGUAGAGCAUUGGCAAGGUUAAAUGACUUUGCUAAGGUCACACAACCAGACAUUAGCGAAGCCAGACCUUGAACCCAGCAUUUUUUACUGUUUACACCAUGUUAGUUGUGAAUGUAUAACUAAGGCAAAGGGAUCACCUCAUAAAGUUCUUACUGAUGAGGGACUGAAUUGUUUAUUUGCUAUUUCACUGUAAGAAGCUUCGCUUAAUGGAUAAAAGCAUAAGAUUUAGACUCAAACCAGAAAUCCACCUCUACUUUAUAGUAGUAUGGGGACAUUGGUUAAGUGAUCUCUUUUAUUCACAAUCGUCUCAUCUGCUUAAUGGUGAUAAUAAUAAAUGUAGGUUUUUCUGGAACAAUUAAAUGGCUAAUGCAUUUGAGAAAAAGCAUGUAUUUCAUUGUUUGGCAUAAAAUAAACACUAUAUAUUUUUAGUAACUGUUACUAUGCUAUUAUUCUAAGCUAUACUAUCAGCAAGAUGUAAGUAAUGCUCCUAUUUCAUCAUAAAUAUAUAAAUACUUAUGUUUUUAUGUAUAGAUUGUUAUGCUUACAUAGGUUUCAGUGCACUUUGUUAGUAAUUAUUCUUCAUAUCUUUCAGAAUGCAAACUUCUUAAGGUCAAAGACAUGUGUUUUAUCUUUGAUAUAGAAUAUUUUCAAUGACAAGAUAUGUUCAUCUUUAUAUCCCCAAAACCUAUCAUGUUUUUGAAAGACAGUAAGUGUUAAUAAACAGUUAUUAGUGUUGAAAUAGAGUUUUGUAUUGACUUUGAAAAUAAUCCUUACUCUGGGUUGGUUGGCUGAUUGGCUUGUUUAUUUAUUUAGCUCAUGAGAUGAGAGGGGUAGACAUUUACUCUUCUAUCUAAAGGUCUUAGUUCCCUCUUGGCUGUCAUUUGGUGAGUAACUUGCUUUGCUGUUGUUUCUGUGGUGUUUAGAUAUCUAUAUGUAAAUCUUGUAACAUGGUCUUAGCUCCUUUCCUGGCAAGCUAAUUAUCUGAUGAGCAACCAAAGAAAUGAUCUAUUCUAGUGGAAGAGAAAAAAUUGACUGUGUUAAGCUUACCGAGAAAUAAUACUGUACAUACUAUUGCACUUUAUGAGACUUAAAGAAUUUGAAUACACAGUUUUUAUAUGCAUGCUAACCUUAGCUGCCUGGAAAGAUGCAGCAUAACUGCUUAAACUUAUUUUUUUUGUUGUUGUAUACUAACUUAUUUUAAAUGAGGAUGAGUAGAUAUAGACAUAUAUAUAUAUAUAUUUAUACACACACACACACACACACAAAUAUAUACACCUUCCCCCAAGUGCAUGUGCACGCGCGCACGCGCACACACACACACACACACGCAACUAGUUGACUGAGGAAGAUAAAACUUGGGCCUGAUUUACAGAUGUUUCUGCACAAUAUUCAGGCACCAUUCAAAAGUGGACAGCAACAGCAGUGCAGCCCCUUUCUGGACAUCCUUGAAAGACGGCAGUGAAGGAAAUUUCUCCCAGUGGGCAGAACUUCAAACACAGCACCUGGAGACACACUGGCAAAGGAAAUAACCAGAGGUAAGAGUCUAUACAGAUAUAUGAUCUGUGGCCAAUGGUUUGGAAACAAAAUGAUUAUAAAAUUGGUAACAAAGAGGUUUGGGAAAGAGGUAUGUGGAAAAACCUUUUUGAUGGCAAAGAGUGUAAAGAUAUCUGUGUCCCAUAUGAAUGCUAAUCAAAGGGUGACCUCAGCAUAGGAGGAUUUUGAUAAUCAAGUGGACAGGACGGUCUGUUCUCUGGAUACCAGUCAGCUUCUUUCCCCGGCCAGUACUGUCAUUACGGAAUGCGCUCAUGGGCAAAGUGGCCAUGGUGGCAGAGAUGGAGGUUAUGAAAGUGCUCAGUAACAUGGACUUCCACUCACCAAGACUGGACUGACUACAGCCACUGCUGAGUGCCCAGUCUGCUGGAAAACAAACCAAUACCGAGUCCCUGAUACAGCACCAUUCCCAGCAGUGAUCAGCCAGCAAUGUAGUGGUAUGACAGCAUUGGAUUGCGUUUAUCAUGGAAGAGGCAAUGCUUUGUUCUUACUGGAAUGGACACUUACUCUGGGUGUGGAUUUUCCUUCCCUGCAUACAGUGUUUCUGCCAAAACUACCAUCAGUGGACAUACAGAAUGCCUUUUUUGCCAUCACAGUAUUCCAUCUAGCAUUGCUUCUGAUUAAGAAAUUUACUUCAUGCAAAUAAAGUGCAGUAAUGGGUCCACGUUCAUGAAAUUCACUGAUCUUACCAUGUUCCUCAGCAUCCUGAAGUAGCUGCUUCAUAGAAUAUUGGAAUGGCCUUUUGGAAAUUCAGAGACAGCACCAACUACAUGGCGACACCUUCCAGGACUGAAGUACUUUCCUCCAGGAGGCUGUAUGUGCUGUAAAUCUGCAUCUAGUGUAUGGUGCUGCUUCUCCCAUAGCCAGGAUUCAUGGGUCCAGGAAUCAAGGGGUGAAAACGAGAAAAUCAAGGGAUGAAAAUGACUCCACUCACUCUUACUCCUGGGAAGCCACUAUCAGGAGUUUUGCUUGCCAUCCCCCUGAACUUUUGCAUUGUUGAUCUAGAAGUCUUAGUUCCAAAGUUAGGAGUGCUUCUACCAGAAGACAUCACAAUGAUUCCAUUGAUCUGGAAAUUGAAGCUAUUACCUGACCAUUGUAAGCUCCUCAUGUCUCUGAGUUCACAGGCAAAGAAGAGAGUUACUGUACUGGCUGGGAUUAUCAGUCCUAAUCAUCAAGGGGAAAUUAAACUGCUACUCCACAAUGGAGGUAACGGACACUAUGUUUAGAAUGCAGGAGGCCCUUAGGUUGGCAUCUCCUAGUACUCCCAUGUCCUGUGAUUAAAGCCAAUGGAAAACUAUAACAAACCUGAGAGUGGCCCAGACUCUUCAGAAAGGAAGGUUUGGAUCACUCCACCAGGCAAACAACCAUGACCAUCAGAGGUGCUGCUGAAGGAAAAGGGAAUACGGAGUGCCUAGUGGGAGAAGGCAGUUACAAAUAUCAGCUACAAGUGUGUGACCAAUUGCAGAAACAAUGACUGUAAAUGUUGCAAGUUCAGCUGUAUUGUGGAAAAAAGGAUUUAAGCAAAGAUUGAACCUGGUGAAAUGCGGAUAGCUGGUCCACUUGAGGACAUUCCAUUUCUUCGCUUCUCCAAUGGAGCAGGUUUCUGCACGCAGCUCACAUGCUUAUAUGUAUGGUGGCAUUGCCUACUCUCUACCCAGUUGUCCCAUCAACUCCCUACACUCUACACCACUGAAAUCUGUGCAAACAAGAUCAAGCUACUGAUCAUCUUCUGAACAAUGAAUUCUUUUCUGACAGGGAAGGAUUGUUCUGCAACUCAUGCGGAGCACCAAGGGUGCUGGAGACUCAGGUCCAUAGAACCCAGCUUUACCAUACGGAUGUGCAUCAUAACACUGUAUCAUGAUAAUGCAAGACUAAACACCUGACUUGAUGCCCAGGGCAAUGAUGCUGUGUUUAUCAAACAAUAAAACUAUUAUCUUAAAAAUCUGUUUAACUUGAAACCAUCCUAGAUGAUUCAAUACCUCAAGGCUUUCAAGAGAACAAACAUUGUGAACAACGGCUUGACUUUCUUACGAAGAGAAUUAAUUAAAUUGUAAACCAAUUUUUACGCACCCUGAUGAUUUUUUAUGUUGUUUCCUGAGCCGAGUAUCCUUGAGAAAUUCAACAGUGAUAAGUAAAAUUGCAUUGUAACUGCUCAGGAUUUGUUCAACAUUCAGUGUUUAUUGACCAGAAGCAGUUAAAGUGUUUGGGUAAGGAAUAUAGACUCAGAGCAGACUGCCCCAGCUCCAACCCAGCUUCUCCACUUAAUAGCUAUGAAGUUGAGCAAUUUAGUGAACCUCUCAGUGCUUCAGUUUUCUCUAUAAAAUGGGGAUAAUUUGAAUCUAUCUGCAGAUGCCACGUGGGUUAAAUAAGAGCAUAUGGGCUUAUAACAAUGCCUGAAACAUAGCAAGUGCUCUAUAGAUGGUAUCCAUUAAUGUAAGGCCUCCAUAGAACAGACAUUUGACUCAAUAUAGCAAUAUAUUAAAUAUAUUCAUAUAAAUUAAACAUGGUGACUAACUUCAACUAAUUUCCAUCACAGUGGGGACAACAAAACAUGUAUUUAAAACCCACACAUUAUUUAAGGACCAGAUUAAAUGCAUCAAAAUCUUCAUUAAUUCCAUGUUGUUCAAUGUAAUCUUUCCCACAGCAACUUAAAUGUACUUCUCUUUAACAUGUUCUACCAAGUUUUAUAAUUAAUUAUGUACAUGUCUAUUCUUUCCUACCAGAUUCUGAUAUGCUUGAGACAGAUUCACUUCAUCCUCUUUCUGCAUGCCUGGUUGAAUGACUGGCACAUAGUAAAUGCUCAAUAAAUGUUUGAUAAAUGAAUGAAUAACAAUAUAUAAGGCAUUAUAUGGUGACGAAAGCAUCACACAAAAGCAUCACAACUGAAGCACAAUUAAGUACCAUAAACAUUAGCCUUCAUCUACUGCCAUGACAGCUGAAGAGAUCCAGAGAGAUCCACUCCUGAUGUGCAUUCGUAGGGCGAGUUUUACAAAAAACAUGGCACAGGAGGAGGUUCUUAAAUGUUUAAACACAGCACUCAGUCUUAUAGAGGCUCUGCUUCUUUAAUCGGCCCUUUCUAAUCUUCUCUCCUCAUUGUGAAAUUCGGGAAAUAUGUUUCUUUACAUGCCUCCUCAAAUUUACAGAACUGGCCCAAGCAUUGAUUUUCUAGACAUAAUUCACUCCCAUUGCAGAUGUCCUAGGAAAUGGAGAGCUCUAUGACAGAAGUACACAUCAUGUGUCCAAAGUAACUUCAUAAUGGUUUCUGGGUUGUUAAAACAGGAAGAAACCAUUGCCUUUUAGAGGAAAGCUACAGUAAAUGUCACCAUAUGAAUAAACAUUGCAGUGACAUGCUUAAGCCUGGUUUUACUUGUUAUGAUUAUGUUGUCUGACUCUUACCACCAGAAGUGUUUCCCUCAUAUUUUCCUUCACAUUAACAUUUACGAUGGAGGGGCAGCAUUCCCCUUUGCUCACAUUGGCCAAAAUUAGUCCCUUUACACCCAGCAAUAUUUCAACAGUCACAGACCAGUGAGAGACCAGCAUAAACCCAGCUUGCUAUGGGCCUCAGCAUGUUCCACCAGCUUUACUCCAGCCAACAAAACUGCCAUUUGGAAUCCAUCUGCUGCAUUUCACGGACCUAAAUUCUGACCUAGUAGGUAGUCACUGAACUCGAACUGAGCAGAAAGGGCCAGAGGUUCUAAAGGGAAACAUUCUUCAGCGCCACUACAUGUGCCCUAAGACAUGAAACACCUAAGACAGCACCUUGAGGCAUAUUUUUCAGUGCAGAAGUAGCAGAAAACAGAACAUGACUCCCCACCCCUUCUUUAUAUUCCAAUGAGAUUUGCUAGUUUAACCAGAGCUGCAGUACAAAAGCACUUGUGGUUCAUGUUAUAUUAAUAGUGUGGCCUGAUUAUCAAAAACCAUUACUCUUGGUUAUCUUGCAGCGGCUGUACAGAGCUGCUAUAAGUCAGAGUGACUGCCCACACAGUGUUUGCUCCAUGCUUAUGAUAACAGUAUUCUUAAUGCAAAAGUGCAUUUGUAAAAUUAUUGCCUUUUAAAGAUCAGAUCUGUUAUAAAUGAGAUAUGAUCACACAA